Molecule: ribosomal RNA, 468 nt
Filed under: uncultured bacterium
Lineage: Bacteria
Description: partial 16S ribosomal RNA
Rfam family: Bacterial small subunit ribosomal RNA
Source: RNAcentral
GACGAACGCUGGCGGCGUGCUUAACACAUGCAAGUCGAACGGAAAGGCCCUGCUUUUGUGGGGUGCUCGAGUGGCGAACGGGUGAGUAACCCGUGAGUAACCUGCCCUUGACUUUGGGAUAACUUCAGGAAACUGGGGCUAAUACCGGAUAGGAGCUCCUGCUGCAUGGUGGGGGUUGGAAAGUUUCGGCGGUUGGGGAUGGACUCGCGGCUUAUCGGCUUGUUGGUGGGGUAGUGGCUUACCAAGGCUUUGACGGGUAGCCGGCCUGAGAGGGUGACCGGCCACAUUGGGACUGAGAUACGGCCCAGACUCCUACGGGAGGCAGCAGUGGGGAAUAUUGCACAAUGGGCGGAAGCCUGAUGCAGCAACGCCGCGUGCGGGAUGACGGCCUUCGGGUUGUAAACCGCUUUCGCCUGUGACGAAGCGUGAGUGACGGUAAUGGGUAAAGAAGCACCGGCUAACUACGUG